RNAcentral lists this ribosomal RNA (637 nucleotides) under uncultured Clostridium sp. Its description in RNAcentral is "bacterial SSU rRNA". It matches the Rfam family "Bacterial small subunit ribosomal RNA", at positions 83 to 738 of the family's 1533-position model. Lineage: Bacteria; Bacillati; Bacillota; Clostridia; Eubacteriales; Clostridiaceae. The record is from RNAcentral.
CUUCGGAGAAGAGCGGCGGACGGGUGAGUAACGCGUGGGUAACCUGCCCUGUACACACGNGAUAACAUACCGCGAGGUAUGCUAAUACGAGAUAAUAUGCUUUUAUCGCAUGGUAGAAGUAUCAAAGUUUUUGCGGUACAGGAUGGACCCGCGUCUGAUUAGCUAGUUGGUAAGGUAACGGCUUACCAAGGCGACGAUCAGUAGCCGACCUGAGAGGGUGAUCGGCCACAUUGGAACUGAGACACGGUCCAAACUCCUACGGGAGGCAGCAGUGGGGAAUAUUGCACAAUGGGCGAAAGCCUGAUGCAGCAACGCCGCGUGAGCGAUGAAGGCCUUCGGGUCGUAAAGCUCUGUCCUCAAGGAAGAUAAUGACGGUACUUGAGGAGGAAGCCCCGGCUAACUACGUGCCAGCAGCCGCGGUAAUACGUAGGGGGCUAGCGUUAUCCGGAAUUACUGGGCGUAAAGGGUGCGUAGGUGGUUUCUUAAGUCAGAGGUGAAAGGCUACGGCUCAACCGUAGUAAGCCUUUGAAACUGGGAAACUUGAGUGCAGGAGAGGAGAGUGGAAUUCCUAGUGUAGCGGUGAAAUGCGUAGAUAUUAGGAGGAACACCAGUUGCGAAGGCGGCUCUCUGGACUGUA